AUACGUAGGGAGCGAGCGUUGUCCGGAAUUACUGGGUGUAAAGGGAGCGUAGGCGGGAGUGCAAGUCAGAUGUGAAAUACAUGGGCUCAACCCAUGGGCUGCAUUUGAAACUGCAUUUCUUGAGUGAAGCAGAGGUAAGCGGAAUUCCUGGUGUAGCGGUGAAAUGCGUAGAUAUCAGGAGGAACACCGGUGGCGAAGGCGGCUUACUGGGCUUUUACUGACGCUGAGGCUCGAAAGCGUGGGGAGCAAACAGGAUUAGAUACCCUGGUAGUCCACGCUGUAAACGAUGAUUACUAGGUGUGGGGGGACUGACCCCUUCCGUGCCGCAGUUAACACAAUAAGUAUUCCACCUGGGGAGUACGAUCGCAAGAUUGAAACUUAAAGGAAUUGACGGGG
Molecule: ribosomal RNA, 396 nt
Filed under: uncultured bacterium
Lineage: Bacteria
Description: partial 16S ribosomal RNA
Rfam family: Bacterial small subunit ribosomal RNA
Source: RNAcentral